AUACGGAGGAUCCGAGCGUUAUCCGGAUUUAUUGGGUUUAAAGGGAGCGUAGGCGGAGGAUCAAGUCAGCUGUGAAAUGUAGACGCUCAACGUCUGCACUGCAGUUGAAACUGGUCCCCUUGAGUGCGUAAGGGGCAGGCGGAAUUCGUCGUGUAGCGGUGAAAUGCUUAGAUAUGACGAAGAACUCCGAUCGCGAAGGCAGCGUGCCGGGCCGCAACUGACGCUGAAGCUCGAAGGUGCGGGUAUCGAACAGGAUUAGAUACCCUGGUAGUCCGCACAGUAAACGAUGAAUACUCGCUGUUUGCGAUACACUGUAAGCGGCCAAGCGAAAGCGUUAAGUAUUCCACCUGGGGAGUACGCCGGCAACGGUGAAACUCAAAUGAAUUGACGGGG
RNAcentral lists this ribosomal RNA (393 nucleotides) under uncultured bacterium. RNAcentral's name for it is "partial 16S ribosomal RNA". It matches the Rfam family "Bacterial small subunit ribosomal RNA", at positions 523 to 918 of the family's 1533-position model. The record is from RNAcentral.